AGAGUUUGAUCAUGGCUCAGAUUGAACGCUGGCGGCAGGCUUAACACAUGCAAGUCGAGCGGAGAUGAGGUGCUUGCACCUUAUCUUAGCGGCGGACGGGUGAGUAAUGCUUAGGAAUCUGCCUAUUAGUGGGGGACAACAUUCCGAAAGGAAUGCUAAUACCGCAUACGUCCUACGGGAGAAAGCAGGGGAUCUUCGGACCUUGCGCUAAUAGAUGAGCCUAAGUCGGAUUAGCUAGUUGGUGGGGUAAAGGCCUACCAAGGCGACGAUCUGUAGCGGGUCUGAGAGGAUGAUCCGCCACACUGGGACUGAGACACGGCCCAGACUCCUACGGGAGGCAGCAGUGGGGAAUAUUGGACAAUGGGGGGAACCCUGAUCCAGCCAUGCCGCGUGUGUGAAGAAGGCCUUAUGGUUGUAAAGCACUUUAAGCGAGGAGGAGGCUACUGAGACUAAUACUCUUGGAUAGUGGACGUUACUCGCAGAAUAAGCACCGGCUAACUCUGUGCCAGCAGCCGCGGUAAUACAGAGGGUGCGAGCGUUAAUCGGAUUUACUGGGCGUAAAGCGUGCGUAGGCGGCUUUUUAAGUCGGAUGUGAAAUCCCCGAGCUUAACUUGGGAAUUGCAUUCGAUACUGGGAAGCUAGAGUAUGGGAGAGGAUGGUAGAAUUCCAGGUGUAGCGGUGAAAUGCGUAGAGAUCUGGAGGAAUACCGAUGGCGAAGGCAGCCAUCUGGCCUAAUACUGACGCUGAGGUACGAAAGCAUGGGGAGCAAACAGGAUUAGAUACCCUGGUAGUCCAA
This 796-nucleotide ribosomal RNA is filed under the name uncultured bacterium. RNAcentral describes it as "bacterial SSU rRNA". It matches the Rfam family "Bacterial small subunit ribosomal RNA", at positions 8 to 798 of the family's 1533-position model. The record is from RNAcentral.